This 199-nucleotide long non-coding RNA is filed under the name Solanum tuberosum (potato). RNAcentral's name for it is "long non-coding RNA (STUB_LNC011596)". Lineage: Eukaryota; Viridiplantae; Streptophyta; Magnoliopsida; Solanales; Solanaceae. The record is from RNAcentral.
CAACAACAAGCAGGAGCAAGAAAAUCAACAAUGAACAUCUCCAAAUUAAAACUAAGUUCACAAAAGUCGAGUCAUAAUAGAUGACUUUGUUGAGAGUAUUACCGAGCAUAAUGUCUGUAUGUUAGUAAUGUCUGUAUUUUAAUGGCUUCAUCGGCUGCUUUAACUAAUAUAUGUAUGUUUAUUAUUACCUAAUUAAGUG